Molecule: long non-coding RNA, 3852 nt
Organism: Gigantopelta aegis
Lineage: Eukaryota; Metazoa; Mollusca; Gastropoda; Neomphalida; Peltospiridae
Exons: 4
Source: RefSeq, a predicted model, not a curated record
GUGACGUACGGUGCCAUGCCUGUAUGUACGUAUGCUACUAGUAUAUCCCCUCGUCGCGAGGGAAUAAGGAAGGAGUGUCUGCAACAGAAGGAUUGGUAAAUUCGGCCCAUUAUGAUUAGCUUUGAUUAUCCGUAACAGACCCGGUGUGUUUACAAAACCUCAUUGAUGUAUGGAUGCACACACUUAGAGUCGUGUUCUCAAUAAUGGGCCUAUAGAGAACACUGCUUGACAGUUGUCAUAUCACACGACGAUAUCCCACACCAUCUAAUGAAGUUAUCACCGCCAAACCUGACUACAGUAUGACCUAUAAGAAAUCAGUUUUGAUUUGAUUGAACGACAACGUGUCAAACCAAAGCGAAAGAAAGCAGCUGUGCCUAGUGUCGACCAACCUGCAACGCGAACAAGACCAGUUAGCCAAUUCCACCAUAUGGAUAGCUCCAAGAUCCUGGCCUAUAUUCGGAUGGGAUUAUCCGACAUAUAAAUUGAAUACACUUCUGAAUUGUAGAAAUGACAAAACUAUAUUCAUUGUUUAUAAACUAUGUUUUAUCUGAUCCAAACAAAAACAUUUUAAAAUGGUCAAAUAAUCAUGUAUUUUUUCAAUUAUUAAUAUCCAAGGAGGAACAGCCAAUGCAGUAUCAUAAUGACAAAGAAUCAAAUUAACAAUUCAAUCGACAAUUCAACUGAAUUGAAAACAAAAUAUUCCAUAUUUCUGAAUGUAAUAUGUUAGAUUGCCUGUGAUGAUCAUAUUGACUGGUUUAGUGUAACGAAAAUCACAAUAAGCUAUUUGAGUAUUGUAAUAUUUUUACAGUAUACAACAAAAGAACACUCAUUAUUAAACUUAAAUACAUUUUGCAAAUUAGUAAUUAGCAUUACCCAAUAAAAUCAACUGAAUUGCAAACAAUAACCUGGAUCAAGAAGAAUGGAUGUUUCAAAUGUUGAGUUUGUACCAGUACUACACAGACGAAAGUUAACAGUGUUCUUAAAUAAAAAUUAAAAAGUCAGAUGACUAAGCUAAAGCUACAACAGAAGUUUCGGGUGUACUCGUGCAUAGUUUCUUUGCCACAUAAGGUUUGAAACAACAAGGUGCAUUUGGCCAGUUUUACACAUCGUCCUGUGUUGUGCAAACGAUGGACGCCAUUUGAAUGUUUUACCACAUCCACACAUUUUGUUCAUAUCACCGUGUUUACCAACAUUGUGAUCUUGCAGGGACGCUGAGGUUUUGAGUUUUUAUCCGCAUUCUUUGCAUGCAUAUAUUUUAGGGUUAUCACCGAUACAUGGUGUGUUUUCGCAUACUUGAAACAUAAUAUGCAAAAGGUUUUGAGCAUUUUGGGCAGUUGUAAGGCUUGUUUCCGAUAUGGUUAUUCAAAUGGCCGAAAUAAAGUGACUUAUCACAGUAUGUCUUAUCACAAUAUGUACACGGAUACGUGUAUGUCUUAGCAUGGUGACGCUUUGUGUGUAUAGAAAGUCCUUGUCGAGUUUUAUAGACCUUGGAACACACCUCACAUAGCAGUUUGUCAUCACCGUGCGAGAAAGUAGCAUGCUGCUUUAAAGCAAAUUUACUGGAACAUCUUCUCGAACAUUUGUCACAGAUGGUUUUUUUUCUUCUCAUGCUUAGCCUUGACAUGUUUCAAAUUACUGCCAACUGGACUUUCAAAUCAGUUUUGAUUUGAUUGAACGACAACGUGUCAAACCAAAGCGAAAGGAAACAGCUGUGCCUAGUGUCGACCAACCUGCAACGCGAACAAGACCAGUUAGCCAAUUCCACCAUAUGGAUAGCUCCAAGAUCCUGGCCUAUAUUCGGAUGGGAUUAUCCGACAUAUAAAUUGAAUACACUUCUGAAUUGUAGAAAUGACAAAACUAUAUUCAUUGUUUAUAAACUAUGUUUUAUCUGAUCCAAACAAAAACAUUUUAAAAUGGUCAAAUAAUCAUGUACUUUUUCAAUUAUUAAUAUCCAAGGAGGAACAGCAAAUGCAGUAUCAUAAUGACAAAGAGUCAAAUGAACAAUUCAAUCAACAAUUCAACUGAAUUGAAACCAAAAUAGUCCUACUAAAUAUUUCAUAUUUCUGAAUGUAAGGUGUUAGAUUGCCUGUGAUGAUCAUAUUGACUGGUUUGGUGUAACGAAAAUCACAAUAAGCUAUUUGAGUAUUGUAAUAUUUUUACAGUAUACAACAAAAGAACACUCAUUAUUAAACUUAAAUACAUUUUGCAAAUUAGUAAUUAGCAUUACCCAAUAAAAUCAACUGAAUUGCAAACAAUAACCUGGAUCAAGAAGAAUGGAUGUUUCAAAUGUUGAGUUUGUACCAGUACUACACAGUCGAAAGUUAACAGUGUUCUUAAAUAAACAUUAAAAAGUCAAAUGAUUAAGCUAAAGCUACAACAGAAGUUUCGGGUGUACUCGUGCAUAGUUUCUUUGCCACAUAAGGUUUGAAACAACAAGGUGCAUUUGGCCAACUUUACACAUCUUCCUGUGUUGUGCAAACGAUGGACGCCAUUUGAAUGUUUUACCACAUCCACACAUUUUGUUCAUAUCACCGUGUUUACCAACAUUGUGAUCUUGCAGGGACGCUGAGGUUUUGAGUUUUCAUCCGCAUUCUUUGCAUGCAUAUAUUUUAGGGUUAUCACCGAUACAUGGUGUGUUUUCGCAUACUUGAAACAUAAUAUGCAAAAGGUUUUGAGCAUUUUGGGCAGUUGUAAGGCUUGUUUCCGAUAUGGUUAUUCAAAUGGCCGAAAUAAAGUGACUUAUCACAGUAUGUCUUAUCACAAUAUGUACACGGAUACGUGUAUGUCUUAGCAUGGUGACGCUUUGUGUGUAUAGAAAGUCCUUGUCGAGUUUUAUAGACCUGGAACACACCUCACAUAGCAGUUUGUCAUCACCGUGCGAGAAAGUAGCAUGCUGCUUUAAAGCAAAUUUACUGGAAUAUCUUCUCGAACAUUUGUCACAGAUGGGUUUUUUCUUCUCAUGCUUAGCCUUGACAUGUUUCAAAUUACUGCCAACUGGACUUUCGUAAGUACAAAGAUAACUUUUGUUUCCUUUAAUACUCUCCACUAACCUUUGAUUUUUGGGUUAAUAUUAUAAACAUUUUACAGUUGUUAAUGUAAACAUUAAUAUCAGUACAGUUGUCCGAAUUGGUGAUAUAGUUUUCUUUGACAUCUGGCGAAGAAAUGUUCAUUGGUAUAUCAGUUUCAUUAAUGGUAACAGCCGAUUCAUCAAUGAAUGACCAUUCCAUAAUCAAACGAAAUCGGUAAACACGCCGUAACAGCGUUGAAAAACCGCCGUAACCUAUAAAUAGAAAUCAUCAAAACUCCGUAUCAUUUCUGUUUUGAUUUUGAAAAGAUAAACAUGCAUUUUCUGAUAUUUUAAAGCAAUGUUAUGACAAUAAAUACUAACAUAUUUAUUCUAUACACAAAAUGUAUUGCUUGUAUGAAAGUUACCGUAAACAUAGGUAGUCCUGACUUUUUUUCUUCUACGGAUCCUUUUUUUAGCAUUCAAUAUUGCAUGACACUGUAUUAAAUAGUACUUUAAACUACGCUGUACAUCGCUAUGCACUAAAUUAAACACGUGCAUAUAUGUACGAUACGUUAAAAUUAAUAUCUGAGUGGUUUGAAUAAUUAAAUAUGAAAGUUACCUUAUAAGUAUAAACAAUAUUGUGUAAAAAUCUACCGGAGCUCGUGCAAGAAACAAACAACACGCCGUAACAAAAAUCGUCAAAACUCCACUCUCGCUGUAACCGAGUACCGAUACAGUGUAUCCUAACCGCACAUGUACAGCGCGACAUAUUUAUUUGUCGCGCCGUAUACUCUCCUUCUCUCUCUCUCUCUCUCUCUCUCUCUCUCUCUCUCUCUCUCUCUCUC